This 406-nucleotide ribosomal RNA is filed under the name uncultured bacterium. RNAcentral's name for it is "partial 16S ribosomal RNA". It matches the Rfam family "Bacterial small subunit ribosomal RNA", at positions 28 to 526 of the family's 1533-position model. The record is from RNAcentral.
GAUGAACGCUGGCGGCGCGCUUAACACAUGCAAGUCGAGCGAAUCGGCGGACGGGUGAGUACCACGUGAGUAACCUGCCUUAGACAUUGGGAUAGCCUCGGGACACCGGGAUUAAUAACAAAUGGUCUAAGAUGAGCUCGCGUCCCAUUAGCUAGUUGGUGGGUAACGGCCCCCCAAGGCGACGAUGGGUAGCCGGCUUGGGAGGGUGAAAGUCCACAUUGGAACUGAGAAACGGUCCAAACUCUACGGAAGGCAGCAGUGGGGAAUAUUGCACAAUGUAGGGAACUCUGAUGCAUCGACGCCGGGUGAACGAAGAAGGCUUUCGAGUCGUAAAGUUCUUUUAUAUGGGAAGCGGUACCAUAAGAAAAAGCCCCGGCUAACUACGUGCCAGCAGCCGCGGUAAUAC